Molecule: unclassified non-coding RNA, 269 nt
Filed under: Hevea brasiliensis (rubber tree)
Lineage: Eukaryota; Viridiplantae; Streptophyta; Magnoliopsida; Malpighiales; Euphorbiaceae
Source: RNAcentral
ACUUUGGCUGAUCUUCAUCAGGCUCUUGAAGAUUACUUGCCUGUUCUUUUGGGAUUAGUUAAAGAUGGAAGCCAUCUACAACACAAGCUGCAGUUUGUGUGGAUAAAUCAAGAGGAUGACACAGAGGAAACAGCCAUGUCUAAUGCAUGGUAUGAGGUGUUGUCAGUUUUGCACUUAAUGGCAAUGCUAUUACUAUCACAGGCAAACUUGUUACUUCUUCCAAGAAUAUCCGCUGAUGGUUAUCAGCCAAAAGUAUCAGCAGAGAGCAG